UUGCACUGUUGUAAGACUGAUUCCUGUGAAGAAACAGGCUGCUAAAAAGAGAACUGGUGAGCUCAAAGAAAGAUACCCACUUCUACCAUGUUCUAGGAAGACCUCUAUGUCAACAGUACAAAUAUAAGCAUGAUGCCAGAUGUUCUGAAAAUUUCCUUGGGUCCCUCUUUCUGAGAGUUCGGGAGUGAAAGGAGCUGAUUUGGUUUAAAGGUUCUCUGAAGAUUAAUAUUAUCCCUCAUUUGCAGAACCAUUAAAAACUUGUAAUCAAGCAAAUGAGAACGUAAAUCUGUACAUUUUGGACAGAUUUUCUACAAUCAUUCCCAAACAUAAUUUUUUAAGUGAUAGGAUCACAUUUCAUCUGAAUAUCAAGAAGUUGAAAUCUACAGCUGAAUGCAUCUCUUGUCAGAUAGUCCAUAUCUGAGAAAGGAGAUGAGAAGUAGCUUCUUGUGGAUUGCAGAUUGCAGAGUACUAACCCCAUAAGCAGAUUGCAGAGUACUUACUGAAAGAUUCAAGUUAAUGUUGACAGAAAUGAGAAAACCCAAGACAACCUACAUGAAUGAAACGUGAACUGAAAUAAAUAUUAACAGUGAUAUCAUCAAUAGGAAUCAAGCUUCUCCAGGAAGGAUACUCCAACAAACUAGAUUUCAUAUCACUUCUGACACUUGAUGUACUGCCUCCAAAAGGCAGUAUUCAUGGAAAUACAAGCUAUCUUUCUUACCAUGGGAAUGUUCCCUAAGUAUCUGCAUCAAUAUCUGUAAACUUUUGAGACCUGGAGAAAUAAAUACAGCAGUGUUGUAUUCUGACUUCUGCUUCAGUGAAGAUCUAACUGAAUUUCUUGAGGAGAUGAUUUUUAUGGACUACCAAAGGAGGCAGGCAUCCUGAAAUUACCUUAAGUCUUACAGAACAAUUGGGUGAUGCAAGUACAUUUAAGCAGCCUUGGAGAGUGCUGUUGUGGAUGGCAAUGAGUGUGACUCAUCUGGCUAUAGAGCUGGAAAUGGAAAUGUAAUAUUAAAGAAAAUAAAUAACAAGACUGAAAAGAGAAUUAAAUGAGGAAAUGAGGCAUGAAUGCGUGAGACAGAGGUUAGUCUACUGCAUUUCUACCCUGGUUGUUUGUUUGUUUUGCCUUACCUGAUGUUCCAGGCAGCAUUAUACAGCAACUUUGCCCCACAUUCUUCCCUCCCUUCCUUUCUCGGGACUGUUUGCCCUUACUGUGUUCUGCCUGCUUCGCUGGAGGACUGUGUCUGUAUCGUGGCUGCAUUCAUUCAAGCUGGAAAUCAGAAGAAGGUAAAUACUGAAGAGACACUGCAGGAAACUGUCUUUCCAAGGAGCUGAACUUUCUGCUCACUCAUUGCUCAUGGAGAGCUCUGCUGACUCCUAUCACAACCCCCACUGGCAGCUGUUCCCCAGAGGUAACCAAACAGGCGCAGCUCGGGAAAUUCCUAUAAUUGAAUUAUUUUUCAGGUGCUGAAAACAUUCAUUUUAUUGCCAAAGUUCUUACGGAAAAGAAGAGAAAGUAAUAUAGAGAAAAAGAGCUUGAAGAAGAGGGACUGAAUUUUACUCUCAGAGUUAAUGCUAACAUGUAAUCAAAAAUGUUCAUAGUAGUCAAUCACAUUGCAACCUUUCCCACGUCUUAAAAAUGUACUUGAUUAUUUACCAGAGGAACAUAGUAAUUUUCAUGAUGUACUACUGUUUUAUGAUGUUACAUUAGCAAAUCAAACAGUAGGCCAGGGGAUGCAGGUGUCUUUCAAUUGUUGACAUUCUUUCACAAUUAGUACCACAACAAACAAUGAUAUGCAGAGUUAAAAAACACUCAUGAUUUCCUGCAGGUGAUAUUUAUUUAUCAAGAUACUAAUUUAGGUAUGAUUUUGGUGGCAUGAAUACCUCAGCUGCCUGACACAACAUGACUGUAUUAAUAAAGGAUUUGAAACAUAAGUUAUGUUUUCACAGUAUCAAAUCUGUACAGAAUCAGGAAAAAUAAAAAGUAAUUACACUCAAGAAACUCCAAAUAGUAGUGUGAUAUUCCAGUAAUCUCUUUCUCUCUGAGAAUCGCAUGUCAUAAAUAUGUCCUCAGUCAUCAGAGAAAAAUCAUUUUUUCUCUUCUCCCCUCUACUGCUGCUCAUAAAACAGAGGAGCUGUGCCUCUGUAAUUAGCUUGGAAAGUAGCUCCUCCUCUUCCUCCCAACACAUACUUUGGCUUGAGAACAAUAGCGUCAUAUUUUUAGCAAAAUUAAGCAAAAGGCGCUUGCCUCUCAGUGGCAUAAGUGAGAAUUUAGAUGAUCAAGCCUAAAAACACUGGUUAGCGACAUUAACUCCUGGAAGCAUUUAUAAUCACAGGGCUUGAAGUUCAUGAGAUCCCCACUGUGGUGUGGUUUGCAGCAAAUCUGAAAGGAAAUAAACAUAUUCCUCUGUUUGUUCCUGUCUUUGUAAAGGCAUUUUGUAGACUUGUUGGAGAAAAUACAAAAACUAGAAUAAAUAUCUAAGAUGCUCACUGUCCUGAUCAAUAGCUAUUAUACUAUUUUUAAAUAAAUGGAUAGACUGCACUCUCAAUCUCUGGCAAAUGGAAGUUGUAUACACUUACCUUUAAAUUUAACUACACUUGAAUAUGUAGUUUUUUGGACAAAGUGAAAAAGUCAGGAAUCUAAUAAGGAAAUUAUUUUAAAAAGAGGUUUUUGAUUUCAAUUAAAAUAUUGUUUAUGUUCCAAAAUUUGAUACUGAAAAUCUGUCACAAACAAAUCUGACAGUUCUAGAUUUCUGCUAUAGAUUAAUAUAUAUACGUUUAGAAAAUUUCUGAAACAGAACAUGGUCUUUGUCCCUUCAACUUGCCUAAUGAAAGCAAAGUUUUCCUUUGGUUCCUAAAAAUUGAAAUCAGUGCUGUUGAAUUUCAAACAUACUAGUACUGUAUGUAAACAUUGUUUCAAUACACACUCAAACCUGUUUGUACAUAAAUAAGAGAACAAUAUUUUUUUUCUCAAGUAAGAUUAUUUUAAUGGAUCAAAGAGCUUUGUUAAUAUAAUUCUGAUUAUUUCAGAAUUUAUUUCAAAUGGUUUCUUUUUAACACACUUGGAAAUACAUCAGAAAUGCUCACUUUAAUUAAUAAAACUAUUUAAAACUAGUAUGAAAAAGUAAACAGUCUUCUGCCUCUGUUUUAUAAAUGGCAAUUAAAGUAAUGUAGAAUAGAAAUUCAGUAUCUAGAUUACAAUAUACAAAAAAGUUAUUUUAAUUGAUGGUAUUACUUGCAAACGGUGUAAUUAGGACUUGAUCUGUGUUUCCAUUAAAUGAAGCUUACAUGUGGUAUAUUCAUAACAUUUCAUUUAAAAAAUAAUAAUAAAAAUCUGGAGUUGCA
This 3342-nucleotide long non-coding RNA is filed under the name Gallus gallus (chicken). The record is from RNAcentral. Lineage: Eukaryota; Metazoa; Chordata; Aves; Galliformes; Phasianidae.